RNAcentral lists this ribosomal RNA (485 nucleotides) under uncultured bacterium. Its description in RNAcentral is "bacterial SSU rRNA". It matches the Rfam family "Bacterial small subunit ribosomal RNA", at positions 19 to 518 of the family's 1533-position model. The record is from RNAcentral.
CUGGCUCAGAACGAACGCUGGUGGCGUGUCUAUACAUGCAAGUCGAGCGAGGCAGCAAUGCCGAGCGGCGAACGGGUGAGUAACGCGUAAGCAAUCUGCCCCAUAUCAGGAAAUACCCGUGCCAACGCGCGGUUAAUGUCCAGGAGAGUGGCCCUCUGCAUGGAGGGUUGACUAGAGAUUUAUCGGUAUGGGAUGAGCUUGCGUCCGAUUAGCUAGUGGCGGGGCAACGGCCCACCAAGGCGACGAUCGGUAGCCGGCCUGAGAGGGUGAUCGGCCACAUUGGGACUGAGAUACGGCCCAGACUCCUACGGGAGGCAGCAGUAGGGAAUAUUGCACAAUGGGGGAAACCCUGAUGCAGCAACGCCACGUGUGGGAAGAAGCAUUUCGGUGUGUAAACCACUGUCAUGAGGGAAUAAGGCCCUUAUCCGUAAGGGAUUGAAUGUACCUUGAGAGGAAGCACCGGCAAACUUCGUGCCAGCCGCCGC